Molecule: ribosomal RNA, 468 nt
Filed under: uncultured bacterium
Lineage: Bacteria
Description: partial 16S ribosomal RNA
Rfam family: Bacterial small subunit ribosomal RNA
Source: RNAcentral
GACGAACGCUGGCGGCAUGCUUAACACAUGCAAGUCGAACGGAAAGGCCCUGCUUUUGUGGGGUGCUCGAGUGGCGAACGGGUGAGUAACACGUGAGUAACCUGCCCUUGACUUUGGGAUAACUUCAGGAAACUGGGGCUAAUACCGGAUAGGAGCUCCUGCUGCAUGGUGGGGGUUGGAAAGUUUCGGCGGUUGGGGAUGGACUCGCGGCUUAUCAGCUUGUUGGUGGGGUAGUGGCUUAACAAGGCUUUGACGGGUAGCCGGCCUGAGAGGGUGACCGGCCACAUUGGGACUGAGAUACGGCCCAGACUCCUACGGGAGGCAGCAGUGGGGAAUAUUGCACAAUGGGCGGAAGCCUGAUGCAGCAACGCCGCGUGCGGGAUGACGGCCUUCGGGUUGUAAACCGCUUUCGCCUGUGACGAAGCGUGAGUGACGGUAAUGGGUAAAGAAGCACCGGCUAACUACGUG